AGCAGCCGCGGUAAUUCCAGCUCCAAUAGCGUAUAUUAAAGUUGUUGCAGUUAAAAAGCUCGUAGUUGAAUUUCGGGGUCAGUAGGUUGGUCAUGCCUCCGGUAUGUACUGGUCUCACUGAUUCCUCCUUCCUGAUGAGCCGUAAUGCCAUUAAUUUGGUGUUGCGGGGAAUCUGGACUGUUACUUUGAAAAAAUUAGAGUGUUUAAAGCAGGCUCGCGCUUGAAUACAUUAGCAUGGAAUAAUGAAAUAGGACGUUUGAUUCUAUUUUGUUGGUUUCUAGGAUCGACGUAAUGAUUAAUAGGGAUAGUUGGGGGCAUUAGUAUUCAAUUGUCAGAGGUGAAAUUCUUGGAUUUAUUGAAGACUAACUACUGCGAAAGCAUUUGCCAAGGAUGUUUUCAUUAAUCAAGAACGAAAGUUAGGGGAUCGAAGACGAUCAGAUACCGUCGUAGUCUUAACCAUAAACUAUGCCGACUAGGGAUCGGAUGAUGUUAAUUUUUAAUGACUCAUUCGGCGUCCG
This 518-nucleotide ribosomal RNA is filed under the name uncultured Glomus. RNAcentral describes it as "SSU rRNA". It matches the Rfam family "Eukaryotic small subunit ribosomal RNA", at positions 569 to 1089 of the family's 1831-position model. Lineage: Eukaryota; Fungi; Glomeromycota; Glomeromycetes; Glomerales; Glomeraceae. The record is from RNAcentral.